This 446-nucleotide ribosomal RNA is filed under the name uncultured bacterium. Its description in RNAcentral is "bacterial SSU rRNA". It matches the Rfam family "Bacterial small subunit ribosomal RNA", at positions 330 to 792 of the family's 1533-position model. The record is from RNAcentral.
CCCAGACUCCUACGGGAGGCAGCAGUGGGGAAUAUUGCACAAUGGGGGGAACCCUGAUGCAGCGACGCCGCGUGAAGGAAGAAGUAUCUCGGUAUGUAAACUUCUAUCAGCAGGGAAGAAAGAGGACGGUACCUGACUAAGAAGCCCCGGCUAACUACGUGCCAGCAGCCGCGGUAAUACGUAGGGGGCAAGCGUUAUCCGGAUUUACUGGGUGUAAAGGGAGCGUAGACGGCUGUGCAAGUCUGAAGUGAAAGCCCGUGGCUCAACCGCGGAACUGCUUUGGAAACUGUAUAGCUUGAGUACUGGAGAGGCAGGCGGAAUUCCUAGUGUAGCGGUGAAAUGCGUAGAUAUUAGGAGGAACACCAGUGGCGAAGGCGGCCUGCUGGACAGAAACUGACGUUGAGGCUCGAAAGCGUGGGGAGCAAACAGGAUUAGAUACCCUGGUA